ACACCUACGGGUGGCAGCAGUAACGAAUCUUCCCCAAUGCACGAAAGUGUGAGGGAGCGACGCCGCGUGUGGGACGAAGUCCUUCGGGAUGUAAACCACUGUCAGGGGAUACCAAGUUCUGAGGAUCCCCAGAGGAAGAGGCGGCUAACUCUGUGCCAGCAGCCGCGGUAAGACAGAGGCCUCAAGCGUUAGGCGGAAUCACUGGGCUUAAAGCGUGUGUAGGCGGGUCGUUAAGUACCUUGUGAAAUCCCACGGCUCACCCGUGGAGCUGCUGGGUAUACUGGCGAUCUUGGGCCAACUAGGGGCAACUGGAACAAACGGUGGAGCGGUGAAAUGCGUAGAUAUCGUUUGGAACGCCAAAGGUGAAAACAGGUUGCUGGGGUUGUGCCGACGCUGAGACACGAAGGCCAA
Molecule: ribosomal RNA, 411 nt
Filed under: uncultured Planctomycetota bacterium
Lineage: Bacteria; Pseudomonadati; Planctomycetota
Description: bacterial SSU rRNA
Rfam family: Bacterial small subunit ribosomal RNA
Source: RNAcentral